UUCUACUCACAGACUUAAGUUCUGCUCUCCAAUAUGUGACUGUAGCUUAAUUGACGGAGGAAUGCAAAAAGAGAUUCGCAGGCGUCUGACUACUGUCGACUCAUUGACUUCCCUCAGAGAAUUCUUUCACUUGUCUUUUAAAUUUUCCUUUCUUGUCAAAAUUGCAGGUGCAGAUAAAUGCUGGAAUCUUAUUUCAAUCAGAAAGUGCCAAGAACAAGAAAAGAUGGAGAAUUUUGAUUGUCGUUGAGGACAGAGCCUCAAACAGCUGGAGGCCUUCCAUUCUCUUUUAGCCUCCAUCCAUCUAAGAGAAAAAUGCACUAAGGAUUUCACUCAAUUUGUGCGGAAAGAUGAGGAAAUUCACACUGAAAUGAAGAACCACGCUCCCAAAAUAGCAUUAACCUAGAACAGCACUGCUGGGGGAAUAAGAGACCUUGAAUGUAGUGGGUCCAUCUUUGGUAAAAGGUCAAGGGGCGCUCCCAGGGGAUCGCUGGGUGGCGGUUAUCUGAUGAUACACUUGCUGUUCCUUUCAGGGAGCCUUGGAGCCAGCUCAGGGAUUUUCACCUCAGCCAGAUUUUCUUUCUCCAGACCAAAUAAAUGUGUCUUCUUCAAAUAAACAACUUCUGAGUAAACCUGGAAAUGACAGAAGAAAAAACAAAACUAAACUAACUCUGAGUUAGUUGUCACUCGGAGCCUCUCCCCUAGGCUGGGUCCAGCUAUUUGUCUCAGGACCCACCCAGCAUCUGCUCAUAAACCCGCUGCAGCGCGUGAUCUGAAAGAUUCUGUUUCCAGGCUGCAUCUUCACUAGUCUGGACCCGGGUCCUCAGCAUCAGGGACUGUGUUUGGGAUUUAUCUAUCUCCAGCCUCUAGCCCAGCUCCUGGCAUACGCUUCUCGAAAAGUUAAAAUAAUCUGUGUGGCUCACAUUCCACUCAACAGCACUGGCUCAGACCUUACCUGGCUUCCAUCAGACCUGGCCAGAGUCUACCGAGACCCCAUUGACUUGACCAACAUAGCGUCAGUCCAGCAAGACCUGAGGUUCACCAACAGCUCCAGAAAGUCCCAGAAGCAAGUAACAGGUGGCCACUUCCCCUGUCUCUCCUCCUGGUCGAGCCAUACCACACACGCAGAGGUCUCCACAGCAGGGCGUGCUUUGCUGCCCUCUGCUGACAGCAUCCCAGCUCCCGCAGAGUCACC
This 1192-nucleotide long non-coding RNA is filed under the name Equus caballus (horse). RNAcentral's name for it is "lncRNA (ENSECAG00000040737.2)". Lineage: Eukaryota; Metazoa; Chordata; Mammalia; Perissodactyla; Equidae. The record is from RNAcentral.